RNAcentral lists this ribosomal RNA (481 nucleotides) under uncultured bacterium. RNAcentral describes it as "partial 16S ribosomal RNA". It matches the Rfam family "Bacterial small subunit ribosomal RNA", at positions 28 to 507 of the family's 1533-position model. The record is from RNAcentral.
GAUGAACGCUGGCGGCGUGCUUAACACAUGCAAGUCGAACGAAGCAUUUGCGACAGAUUUUUUCGGAAUGAGGUUGCUUAUGACUGAGUGGCGGACGGGUGAGUAACGCGUGGGUAACCUGCCUUGUACUGGGGGAUAGCAGCUGGAAACGGCUGGUAAUACCGCAUAAGCGCACAAUGUUGCAUGACAUGGUGUGAAAAACUCCGGUGGUAUAAGAUGGACCCGCGUCUGAUUAGCUAGUUGGUGAGAUAACAGCCCACCAAGGCGACGAUCAGUAGCCGACCUGAGAGGGUGACCGGCCACAUUGGGACUGAGACACGGCCCAGACUCCUACGGGAGGCAGCAGUGGGGAAUAUUGCACAAUGGAGGAAACUCUGAUGCAGCGACGCCGCGUGAGUGAAGAAGUAAUUCGUUAUGUAAAGCUCUAUCAGCAGGGAAGAUAGUGACGGUACCUGACGAAGAAGCGCCGGCUAAAUACGUG